RNAcentral lists this long non-coding RNA (660 nucleotides) under Bos indicus x Bos taurus (hybrid cattle). RNAcentral's name for it is "lncRNA (ENSBIXG00005000955.1)". The record is from RNAcentral. Lineage: Eukaryota; Metazoa; Chordata; Mammalia; Artiodactyla; Bovidae.
CGGAGGAAGUAUUCGAAAUGUGUUAUUUCCUGAAUGCGGCAUCGUUUCUCCCAGGACCAUGCAAACUGCACCCCCCCCCCCCGCCUUUUUUUUAAACAAAACACGGAAACUUGGCAGCCACCUCUCUGAGGUCUGCCCAGCACGUCCCACGCGGUCUUCGUCCAAAUAAUGAGAGAGACAGACGGCACUCUAGGAGCCGUGUCCCAUAAUGAAGCAGUUGUUCAUGGCUCUCACGGGUUGCUUCGGGGACGUGUCUUCCAGUCUCGGAGACGUGAUGAGAGGCAGAGAAGUCUUGUUCCCAUGUGUAAGGCCAUUCCCAGUGGCAAACAUCUGGGGGAGAAGGCGCCCCGCUGGCAAGUUAAGAAGGGGCCGAGGUCAACUCUGGCAUUAGUCCCCUUCCUUCUCCGGUAUGAGGAUGCGAAUGCCAGGAUGGCCUGCAGCUGGGGUCUUUCUAGAGAGACGGCGAGGACCCAGAGGGCCGAAAGAAUCAAAUCACCUUCCAGAAAUUAGCUGACUAAAUUGCUUGGAAAAUAGCUUUAACGACGGCUGCUGCUUAGGAAGUAAGUGAUUCUCCCUCUUUGCAGACUAACCCUCUUCCUACCUCUGGUCCGUGGUGGAGGGAGGUGCAUUCAAGGCUGUGAGUUCCCUGCAUGUUCCCAG